CGGCAACAGCUCAAAUUUGAAAUCUGGUCCCCUCGCGGGGCCCGAGUUGUAAUUUGCAGAGGAUGCUUUUGGCGAGGCGCCUUCCGAGUUCCCUGGAACGGGACGCCAUAGAGGGUGAGAGCCCCGUCUGGUCGGACGCCUAGCCUCUGUAAAGCUCCUUCGAC
RNAcentral lists this ribosomal RNA (164 nucleotides) under Hirsutella thompsonii. RNAcentral's name for it is "partial large subunit ribosomal RNA". It matches the Rfam family "Eukaryotic large subunit ribosomal RNA", at positions 99 to 261 of the family's 3401-position model. The record is from RNAcentral. Lineage: Eukaryota; Fungi; Ascomycota; Sordariomycetes; Hypocreales; Ophiocordycipitaceae.